GGUCGAUUAGUUUAGUGGCAGAACAGGGUGUUAACUCCACCCAAAUGAAGGUUCGAUUCCUUCAUUGACCU
This 71-nucleotide transfer RNA is filed under the name Pseudomonadota bacterium. Its description in RNAcentral is "Proteobacteria bacterium (activated sludge metagenome) tRNA-Val". It matches the Rfam family "tRNA". From Rfam's summary of the family: Transfer RNA (tRNA) molecules are approximately 80 nucleotides in length. The record is from RNAcentral. Lineage: Bacteria; Pseudomonadati; Pseudomonadota.